CUCGGCCCCCCUGCCUUUCCGCCGCCUCCGUGAGGGGAGGGCCGCGUUCCCGGGCCCGCCUCACAGGGCGGGACGGCGGAGACCGGCGGGAUGGGCCCUCCUCCGCGCUCCCGGGCCGGCCUACCUGGGGGUGGGCGCUCCCCUGGCGGGCCUGGUGGCUCUGUGGGACUGCUGAGGAGUGAGCUGUGCAGGUCCAAGAGGCCAGAGGCUGAGAUCUUAACCCGCAGCAUGAAGAGAAGUGCAGAGUUCCUUGGGCUGUUCUCUCCCCGUCCCCGCCAGCCCUGCGGUCUCCGUUAACGCUGUCACCUCCCGUCGCAGCACGCUGCAGCCACAACACACAAUAGAGAAGGAUGAGUGUCCAGCACAAGAGCAGCCAUGUGGUUACAGCUUCAGUCAGCAGAGGGAGUAUGGACACCUGUGUUAAAAGCCACAUUGGGUCACUGGUGACAGCCAAGAGAAUAGACUUUCUCCUAGAAUUCCGCUUUUGUCUGCAAAAAAAAAAGUCUUGGGGCUGGUGUGGAGCAGCACCUUUUCUUCUCCAUGUCUUGUGUCACCAUUAGUGACUGAAGCAGGGUUCUGUUUGCACAAACACCUGCCUCUGGGGAGGACACAGACUCCCUCUUUUCACUGAGGAAGGUGAGAAAAUGGUUGUGUACAUGACUUCUGUUGCCAAAUGCAGAUGUUGAAAAGAACAUCCUGCGGCCGUGAGUGCCUUCCUGGGACUCCCUUGCAUAAGAGGAAGGAUCUUGAUGAAGAAGAAUGAACCUGAUGGCUCUGUGAGCCUUCUGCUUGAAGAUGAUUCAGCUCCAAACUGGUGCAAAACCAGAGUGAUUUGAGGGCUAAGCUGUGAUGAAUGGUACCACCCAAUAGUUUGAAAUGGAAGUAGACAGCCUGGGUUCAUGCGUUUUUUUACCCGUUGCCACUUAGUUUGUGUUUUCAGAGGUAACACUUGGACUCUGUGGCUUCUGUUUCCCAUAACAAUGGAAAUGUGGACGACUCAAUUGAUGUUUAUCAAAAUCUUCAAAAGAAAUUUGCAAUGAAGUUGAUAAAAAAUUGAUUUUCUUUUUUUUUAAUAGUUACAGUAUUGCUUGACUUUUGGUCAGGCACAGUGCAGCCAUGAUACAACGUGCUACUUGUGUUUAGUGCAUCCGGUGUUUGUACUUUCUUGUGUUCAUUCCCAACGUCAGCAGGCUGGUAAUAUUCUCCACUGGCUGCCCCUAAUUGGUUCUGCAUGACAUUUUGCAAUCCAUUUCAGUUGUGUGUAGCCUCUUAAAUGCUGGGCAAAACUUCAUCAGAGUCCUCGUUUGGCUGAAUGAAACAAAAUUAAUCUUAAAUAAAAUUAAUUUGUGCUCAUUUUCUGUAUGUAAA
RNAcentral lists this long non-coding RNA (1368 nucleotides) under Calidris pugnax (ruff). RNAcentral's name for it is "lncRNA (ENSCPUG00000006793.1)". Lineage: Eukaryota; Metazoa; Chordata; Aves; Charadriiformes; Scolopacidae. The record is from RNAcentral.